GACGAACGCUGGCGGCGUGCUUAACACAUGCAAGUCGAACGAAGAGCGAUGGAAGCUUGCUUCUAUCAAUCUUAGUGGCGAACGGGUGAGUAACGCGUAAUCAACCUGCCCUUCAGAGGGGGACAACAGUUGGAAACGACUGCUAAUACCGCAUACGAUCUAAUCUCGGCAUCGAGGAUGGAUGAAAGGUGGCCUCUACAUGUAAGCUAUCACUGAAGGAGGGGAUUGCGUCUGAUUAGCUAGUUGGAGGGGUAACGGCCCACCAAGGCGAUGAUCAGUAGCCGGUCUGAGAGGAUGAACGGCCACAUUGGGACUGAGACACGGCCCAGACUCCUACGGGAGGCAGCAGUGGGGAAUCUUCCGCAAUGGACGAAAGUCUGACGGAGCAACGCCGCGUGAGUGAUGACGGCCUUCGGGUUGUAAAGCUCUGUUAAUCGGGACGAAAGGCCUUCUUGCGAAUAGUGAGAAGGAUUGACUGUACCGGAAUAGAAAGCCACGGCUAACUACGUG
RNAcentral lists this ribosomal RNA (510 nucleotides) under uncultured bacterium. RNAcentral describes it as "partial 16S ribosomal RNA". It matches the Rfam family "Bacterial small subunit ribosomal RNA", at positions 28 to 507 of the family's 1533-position model. The record is from RNAcentral.